GAAAUUCCUAGCUACUAUGACAACAGUCAUAUCAUUCAUCAUCACAGAAUCAUUAACCGUGAGAUGACGAUUUUGGGAUACAAAGGAUGGAUGCCAGACUUUGGCGUCACGGGUUGUUUUGGGAGUAACAUUUAAAUCGAGAUGUUUUGGGGGAGAAGAAGAGGAAGCCAUUUUAAAAGUGUUUCGAGGAAAGUCUUAAAAAAACUGAAUUUUCAAAAAAUGGAAGGCAGUAAAGUUGAAAUGCAGUUACUCCAAUCAGGCCUUGUAGAGGUAAUAUCUAUAGAUGAAAAUGAGGCACCGUUUCCAGGAUCUCAAGAUUUUCUCGGAUCCCCAUAUUCCCUUUUUUCUUUUCCAGAUUCCAAAAC
Molecule: long non-coding RNA, 365 nt
Filed under: Prunus persica (peach)
Lineage: Eukaryota; Viridiplantae; Streptophyta; Magnoliopsida; Rosales; Rosaceae
Description: long non-coding RNA (PPER_LNC000838)
Source: RNAcentral